UACGUAGGGUGCAAGCGUUGUCCGGAAUUAUUGGGCGUAAAGAGCUCGUAGGCGGCCUGUCGCGUCGGCUGUGAAAACUCAGGGCUCAACCCUGAGCCUGCAGUCGAUACGGGCAGGCUAGAGUCCGGCAGGGGAGACUGGAAUUCCUGGUGUAGCGGUGAAAUGCGCAGAUAUCAGGAGGAACACCGGUGGCGAAGGCGGGUCUCUGGGCCGGAACUGACGCUGAGAAGCGAAAGCAUGGGGAGCGAACAGG
RNAcentral lists this ribosomal RNA (253 nucleotides) under uncultured bacterium. Its description in RNAcentral is "partial 16S ribosomal RNA". It matches the Rfam family "Bacterial small subunit ribosomal RNA", at positions 524 to 776 of the family's 1533-position model. The record is from RNAcentral.